UGUCAAAUGAAUCCGAGUUUGACAUAACAAAUUUGCAUUAUGCACCAAUGAUGCUUCCUCUUGGUGUCAUUUUGCCUCAUCAAACCAUAAGAGUCAAUUAGCUUCUGCCUCAUCUGCUUGAUAAGUUCCUUUUUAUUAUUCCUUUUUUUCUACACUUUUUUAAACCUAUUAGAAAAACACAAGGCAUAUUUCAAUGUGUUGAAAUCUUUAUCAAUUAUUUUACAUGAUAAUUUGCAUAUUGAAACACUUUUUAGAGGCAAAGUUUGCACUAAAAUAAAAGAAGCAGUAUUUCGUUUUACAAAACAACUUGCACAAAUGGCCAAUGAGAUCUUUGGAGAUCUCAAAGAAAUAGUUGAAAAGGAUGCUAUAGAGACUGUAAUAACAGAUGGAGUCCAUCCUUUAACAAGCUAUAUGAUUAAUUUCGUGAGGGUUUUAUAUGACUACCGGUCCACCUUGAAGCAACUGUUAUGAGAAUUUGAAGGUGGAGACUAUUCUUUGCAGCAGGCAUCUGUAACUAAGCGAAUAAUGAAGGCUUUGGAAUCCAAAAUAGAUUCGAAAUCAAAGCAGUAUAGAAACCCUGCAUUUAAGCAUAUUUUUCUCAUGAACAAGAUUUAAGCAUUUUUUUUUCUAAUCCUCUUAUAUUUUAGCUCUGAAGCCAAGGAUAUAUUAGGGAAUGAUUAGGUACGACUAGUGAAAUUGUGCAGUACCAUGCAAUUCAAUACAUAAGAAAUGCUUGGACAAAGGUAUUGUUCUAUUGACCCAAUUCUGUGCAUUAUGUUUGAAAUGUAGGAGUUGCAGAAGCAACAAUUGUCGACAAUCAGGUGCCUUCUUUUGUUUAGUUUUAUUUUUUUGUAUUAAUUUGAAUUUUCAAUCAUUUUUGUGUUUCUUUUCUCUGUGUAGAUACCACUGAUUGGCCCUAAUUCAGUAGUUGGAAGAGCCUUGGUGGUUCAUAAGCUUGAGGAUGAGCUUGGAAAAGGUGGGAAGGAGCUCAACUUGAGCAUUGGAAAUGCUGGUGGAAGAUUGGCAUGUGAAGGAAGCAGAAAGGCUCAAAUUUUCAUUUUGUGUGUUCUCUUCAACUGAUUAAGCUGGUGGCAGUGGCAAAACCUUUAAUGUUUCGAGCUUCAACUACCCUGAGACUAGGCUUAUACCCUUUGAUUUGCGUUACAUCAAAGGAGUUGUCAUUAGAUUCUUCACAAUAUGUUUGUUCUGCUUUGGCUUCAGUAAUAAUGGGAAUGGCUCCAGUAUUAGGAAAGAGGAGUGCAACACAGUUGAAGCAAUACCCACAAAUCUCCAUAUCUUUGGCUGCUUCAGCCACUGCUGAAUCUUGAAGACCAAGGAAGCCAUCUUGAGUUGUGAUCAGUGUCUAAGAAUUACUAGUUUCACAUACUAUUUAGUAUAGUUGAUUGUUUUAGUAUGGUUGAAUAAUACAUUGAGGAUUAUAGUUGAUGUAUCAAUACACUUUGUUUAUAUUUUGAAUUAUAUUGA
Arachis ipaensis is the source of this 1485-nucleotide non-coding RNA. Lineage: Eukaryota; Viridiplantae; Streptophyta; Magnoliopsida; Fabales; Fabaceae. The record is from RefSeq and is a predicted model, not a curated record.